UAGCAGUUACUUUAUGACCGGUCCCUUAGUUUAAUCCUUGGUUAACCUAAAAUUCGAAGCAAACUUCCUGACAGCUUGUCUAUAAAUUUGGAAAUAUUUCUUCAGAGAUCUUGUCUGGAUCGAUAGGAGUUUACUUCUCUGAAGUUUUGAAAUAAACAGACGUGCAGAAAUACACAAACUAGAACAGCAGGUUAAAUUUUAACCCAGGUUUAGCGUUAACCCACCUUUGAAC
RNAcentral lists this long non-coding RNA (232 nucleotides) under Paramuricea clavata. Lineage: Eukaryota; Metazoa; Cnidaria; Anthozoa; Malacalcyonacea; Plexauridae. The record is from RNAcentral.